GAUGAACGCUGACAGAAUGCUUAACACAUGCAAGUCGACUCGAGUCUUCGGACUUGGGUGGCGCACGGGUGAGUAACGCGUAAAGAACUUGCCUCUUAGACCGGGACAACAUCUGGAAACGGAUGCUAAUACCGGAUAUUAUGGUUUUUUCGCAUGGAGGAAUCAUGAAAGCUAGAUGCGCUAAGAGAGAGCUUUGCGUCCCAUUAGCUGGUUGGUGAGGUAACGGCCCACCAAGGCAAUGAUGGGUAGCCGGCCUGAGAGGGUGAACGGCCACAAGGGGACUGAGACACGGCCCUUACUCCUACGGGAGGCAGCAGUGGGGAAUAUUGGACAAUGGACCGCAAGUCUGAUCCAGCAAUUCUGUGUGCACGAUGACGUUUUUCGGAAUGUAAAGUGCUUUCAGUCGGGAAGAAGUCAGUGACGGUACCGACAGAAGAAGCGACGGCUAAAUACGUGCCAGCAGCCGCGGUAAUACGUAUGUCGCAAGCGUUAUCCGGAUUUAUUGGGCGUAAAGCGCGUCUAGGCGGCAAGGAAAGUCUGAUGUGAAAAUGCGGAGCUCAACUCCGUAUGGCGUUGGAAACUGCCUUACUAGAGUACUGGAGAGGUAGGCGGAACUACAAGUGUAGAGGCGAAAUUCGUAGAUAUUUGUAGGAAUGCCGAUGGGGAAGCCAGCCUACUGGACAGAUACUGACGCUAAAGCGCGAAAGCGUGGGUAGCAAACAGG
Molecule: ribosomal RNA, 724 nt
Filed under: uncultured Fusobacterium sp.
Lineage: Bacteria; Fusobacteriati; Fusobacteriota; Fusobacteriia; Fusobacteriales; Fusobacteriaceae
Description: bacterial SSU rRNA
Rfam family: Bacterial small subunit ribosomal RNA
Source: RNAcentral